CCUACGGGAGGCUGCAGUGGGGAAUAUUGGGCAAUGGGCGCAAGCCUGACCCAGCAACGCCGCGUGAAGGAAGAAGGCUUUCGGGUUGUAAACUUCUUUUAAGAGGGAAGAGCAGAAGACGGUACCCCUUGAAUAAGCCACGGCUAACUACGUGCCAGCAGCCGCGGUAAUACGUAGGGGGCAAGCGUUAUCCGGAUUUACUGGGUGUAAAGGGCGCGCAGACGGGAGGACAAGUCAGGAGUGAAAUCCCGGGGCGCAACCCCGGAACUGCUCUUGGAACUGCGCGGCGUGAGUGCCGGAGAGGCAAGCGGAAUUCCUGGUGUAGCGGUGAAAUGCGUAGAUAUUAGGAAGAACACUAGUGGCGAAGGCGGGUUACUGGACAUUAACUGACGGUGAGGCACGAAAGCGAGGGGAGCGAAAGGGAUUAGAUACCCCGGUAGUC
Molecule: ribosomal RNA, 442 nt
Filed under: uncultured bacterium
Lineage: Bacteria
Description: partial 16S ribosomal RNA
Rfam family: Bacterial small subunit ribosomal RNA
Source: RNAcentral